This is a long non-coding RNA of Neofelis nebulosa (Clouded leopard), 919 nucleotides long. RefSeq lists it as uncharacterized. Lineage: Eukaryota; Metazoa; Chordata; Mammalia; Carnivora; Felidae. The transcript is spliced from 3 exons. The record is from RefSeq and is a predicted model, not a curated record.
CAGACGGACAACCUGCGCCAGGGGAUGUCCCUGCCUGUUACUUCUGUCCGCCUUAGCACCAUCUGGACCGAGGGGUCUCCUGCCCAGGCCUCACUUCCAGCCGGGUUGUCCACAAGCGCAGAAAGAGCAGACAUUGUUCACGCAGCGGAGGGGGCCCGGGGACCUGGAGACAGAGCCGUGGCCGACAAGCCGCCGGGUCCCUCAGAGGGCCGCCCCGAGGGAAGUCUCAGGGACCAGGACCCAGGAGCCGUCUGACCCAGACCCGGCGCCCUCUCGGGGAGCUGGCCACUCUGCUGGUUUCAACCGUGAAGUUUAGAAAUAAAAGUGCGCUAGAUGGCCUUGCUUGGACUUUGAAGGAGCCACAGCAAACUUAAGUGGCCGCAAGGUACCUGAGCAUCGCCUGUGUGUGUCCCACACACCCUCCUGUCCCCGUGUGCCUCUGAGAUGGCUCCCAGAGGGCAGAACCAUCCAUCAAAGCCGGGCAGGCCUCCAGCUCAGAAGAACCUUAGGCAAUUACAGCCCAAUAAUAGUAUGGAGGGACCAGGAGACUCUCUGAAAAGGAGCAAUCAGACUGAAGAGCCAGGGCGGAAGAAGAAGGUGCGAGUCCAGCAUCCCUGACCAUGCGGAGCCCAUCACGGCGUUUGUAAAUGGCAGUGAUGAAUGAGCAUGCUGUGCAUAUAUGUCACCACGCCCGGCCUUCUCCCCUCCUUCCCCUCACGUUCUCUCUCCAGGAUAAAAGAUGCUUGGCGCUAAAGAACCCUUGUCUCUUCUAUUCAGAACUGGGGGAAACUGACAAACUCCAUUCUAGUUCAUGAGACCCUGCGGUGAAUUAUGGGAAAUGGAGGGAACUCAUGACUGGAGCACACUUAAUGAACCCAGGAACUCCAGUGAUGGAUGGAUAGAUGGAAAUGAACACUAA